AUGUCAAUAUCGUCGAUUUUGAUUGUCCCUUCCCGUGGUUCAACGAUCCGGAAAAGUGCUUGGAUAAAAGUUGACUUUCCACUACCACUAUUUGGUGGGCGAUAGUAGUCUACUAUUAGAGGAGCCUCACUAGGUAUCCUUGAGUACUGCAAUAUUCUUUCUACUGAUAUCAUUUUGUUCUCUAUUCUGCUAAUGUUCCAAAUCAUAGACAUCAACUGGUAGUUGAGGUUCAAUGCAUAAGUCACUGCAAGUCCAGCAAUGCCUGCAUGUGCAAUUAUAUUAGUUUGACAAAUUUCUAAACUUAGGACAGAUUAAGGCUUCUUUAGUCACCAAGUUCUUUGCAUAUACAUCUUACUUGGGUUCAAUAAACCUUCAGGAAGGCUGACUAGUAGAGUCAAACAAACUGCAAAGACAAGGUUGGACAGCAUGGCUAGCCUGAGAGAAAGCCACUGCAUGGAAGCCAAGUUAUGGAACCAUGGUCUGGAAUGGUUGUCUAAAAGACCAAGUAGGUGUCGAGUCAAAGAAGGACAUUGGGGCACGCAGGAUGCAGCAGGUCAUAUUCUUGAAGAACUUUUCUGACGUUAGUAAACCAAUAAGUGAUGUGACCAUGAUGAUGGAGGGGAUGCCCAUGCUAUCCAGUAGUUACUUGCUAUCUGAAAUAUUUGGAACAAUAACUGUGCUGCAAUUAUUACUGGAACUAAGGCACCACCAUAAACUGCCCUUAGCUGAUCAUCAGUUUCCUUUUCUGUGUUGAAUUCAUCCUCAAUAUCUGCUAAUUUCUGGUUAUCUGAUGAUGUUCCGUUUGAGUUAUGGGCAUUCAUGACAGAUUCAAGAGCCUGGCUAUGGGCUCCUACCAUUGAUUUGAAUCCUUUGUUCCUUUGAAGGAGCUCAUCAAAUUUCCCUCUCUGCACAAUCUUUCCGCCCUGCAUCACCUGUAAACUUGUAUCCACAUGGUUAGUUACUUGGCAACUUCAACCUUUGGACAUGAGUAGACAAACAAAAAGGAGUUUUAGGCACCACCUACCAAUAUAAGAUCUGCAGCUGGAAGAAAUUCGACUUGGUGGGUCACAUACAGGACUGUUUUGUCUUUAAGGAUUCCCAUGACACAGUCCUGCAAUCCAAUUAUUUAUUUGCUUAGAAUAUGUACUGGUUGCUGUCAACUGUCAUAAAGUCCUAAAUGAUUAACUUAUCAAAUUCACAAUACAUAGUUUAAGUAUAUUUAUGCAGAUUUUGGGACUACAAAACAAACCUUGAAAAUCUUGCUUCCAGUAUGAGCAUCUACUGCACUAAAAGGAUCAUCAAACAGGUACUUUGCCACUCUAUCAGCUGAUACUUUCCCUUGAGCAAACACUGAAAGCAAGUCAGGAAGUGUGAAGAUUGGAUCUUGUAGCAUCCGGAAUGUUGCAAGGGCAGACAAAACACUACCAGUAGUAAGAGGAAUCUCCAUCAAUAUGCAUGAACCAAAAGUUACACAGGAUAUGAAUGCAGGUGCCCCCCAAAAUACUAGUGAUGUCAGAGCUGACAACCUCGAAGAUCUCCAUAGCCACCUGUACUCGUCGUUCCUUAAAGCCUCUAUCUUUUGAAGUUUGAGGCCAUUUAGUUGUCCUGAGUAAUGAAGAAAGGCAAGCCGUGCAACGAAAGAAACAAAGGUGGCUAAAAAAUUUAUAUUUUGCUGGGAAUAUUACGCCUUACCUGAUCAAUCACGGAGCAAACCACCGUGCAGAAUCCUCUUGUUCUCGUGCAGCCUAUGCUUUGGCGUUGCCACUGCGAGCGAGCUGAGCUUGACGGAGAUAGGGAGAGGGAGGGAGGCAGCAGGGGAGCAGAAGUGGAGACCAGAGAUGACCCAUGGCACUUAGUCGAUGACCCAUGGCACUUAGUCAAGUAUAAAUUCAAAUAUAAUGACUCUGCUCACUUCACCUGUGUCAUUGAUUUGUACUUCAUAAUAAAAUAAAGGUGGUCCGUUAAUUGCGAA
Molecule: long non-coding RNA, 1972 nt
Organism: Sorghum bicolor (sorghum)
Lineage: Eukaryota; Viridiplantae; Streptophyta; Magnoliopsida; Poales; Poaceae
Exons: 7
Source: RefSeq, a predicted model, not a curated record